This 460-nucleotide ribosomal RNA is filed under the name uncultured bacterium. Its description in RNAcentral is "partial 16S ribosomal RNA". It matches the Rfam family "Bacterial small subunit ribosomal RNA", at positions 338 to 795 of the family's 1533-position model. The record is from RNAcentral.
CCUACGGGUGGCAGCAGUGAGGCAUAUUGGUCAAUGGGCGCGAGCCUGAACCCGCCAAGUAGCGUGAAGGAUGACUGCCCUACGGGUUGUAAACUUCUUUUAUAACGGAAUAAAGUGCGGCACGUGUGCCUUUUUGUAUGUACUUUAUGAAUAAGGAUAGGCUAACUCCGUGCCAGCAGACGCGGUACUACGGAGGAUCCGAGCGUUAUCCGGAUUUAUUGGGUUUAAAGGGAGCGUAGAUGGGUUGUUAAGUCAGUUGUGAAAGUUUGCGGCUCAACCGUAAAAUUGCAAUUGAUACUGGCAGUCUGGAGUACAGUAGAGGUAGGCGGAAUUCGUGGUGUAGCGGUGAAAGGCUUAGAUAUCACGAAGAACUCCGAUUGCGAAGGCAGCUUACUAAACUGCCACUGACAUUGAGGCUCGAAAGUGUGGGUAUCAAACAGGAUUAGAUACCCUAGUAGUC